CCUUCAUUAGUAUCACCUGUGCUGAAUUAACCAGCCACCUCAGUACAUUCACACAGUAGCCUGUUGUUCACGUGCCUCAGACUGUACUGGUCUUUUGCUCGGCCGUCCUCUCUUCGACCUUUGAGUUGUUUCAUGUUCCUGCUCUUUUGCGUGCUCGCCACCUGCCUGUUUGCCACGCCGCCUGAUUACCUGCACGUGACCUCUGACUGGAUAAAGGAUUCAGAUUUUAUUCUGUCUGCCUCUUGUGUGUCCUGCAUACUUAAGACUGAGGAGAGGCGAGCAGGGUGAGCUGGCAACAAACUAACAAACAGGAGGAGAAGUUAGAAACAUCUGAGAGACAAAAUCACUGAAGGAUGUGCAACAGUCUGCUGAUCACUGACAGGAAACUCAGCAUUAAUACAAGAUGUAAAAUUCAUCAGCAAGAACUUAACUUGGGACGUUUGACCUUUCAGAACUGGCCUCAUGCUCUGGUUUUGAUUUCAGAGCUCACAAAAACACAUUUCACUCAUUUUUUAUCAUCAGUCAUGUUUUUGUUUUCUGCUGUACAACAAGACAGCGAGUGUUUAUCAGUGUUGUUAUCAUCACUGCAGCUGUAUUUAUAAUAAACUCAGAUCAUUUACAGCAACUAGUUUAAGUCAUGUCAG
Molecule: long non-coding RNA, 644 nt
Organism: Oreochromis niloticus (Nile tilapia)
Lineage: Eukaryota; Metazoa; Chordata; Actinopteri; Cichliformes; Cichlidae
Exons: 3
Source: RefSeq, a predicted model, not a curated record